This 68-nucleotide transfer RNA is filed under the name Dihammatus sp. UPOL A00625. RNAcentral's name for it is "tRNA-Gln". The record is from RNAcentral. Lineage: Eukaryota; Metazoa; Arthropoda; Insecta; Coleoptera; Lycidae.
UUAUAAAAUUGUAAAUUUAAUUUUAUAAUGAAAAUAUAAUGUUUUACUUAAACUAUAUAAAUAGAAAU